Benincasa hispida (wax gourd) is the source of this 766-nucleotide long non-coding RNA. RefSeq lists it as uncharacterized. The record is from RefSeq and is a predicted model, not a curated record. Lineage: Eukaryota; Viridiplantae; Streptophyta; Magnoliopsida; Cucurbitales; Cucurbitaceae.
ACCUCCUACCCUUCCCGAUUCAUCCUUUUUCACUCUCUUUCUUUAACCCUUUAACUUCAAUUCCAAUUCCUUUCCCUCAAAAACCCUAAAAACUCAAGAAAUCCAACUCAAACCAUUCUCUGUUUCUCCCAUUUUCCUUCCCAAUUCCAAUGGCGUUAGAGCUUUUCGUCUUGGGCUGCACCGGUGUUGUCGUCUUCCUCCAUGGGGUUAAUUUCUUCUUCCACGCUCUCUGGCACCAUUUCACCCUCCGAUCUCUCAGUUUCUUGGGUGCGAUUGGAUGGUAGGAAUUGGAGAAGGGUGAGUGUGGUGGAUCAUUUAAUCGGGGGGAUGAACACCAGAUUUGGAGACUGUACAUAUCCCACAUUGUGAUUUAAUUUAGGAUUGUCAAGGAAAUUAGGUGCCGAAUCCGAAUUCUGAAUCCUGGACUUGAGAUGCCAUGAGAGAUGUUUUCUGUUGCAUGGACGUGACCCACUCUAUGGAGUGUGAACAUUCUCAAUAUAGAUGUAUGCAAUCAUGAAGGUCUUUAUCUUAGAAACUGGCAUCAGGUAAUGGUUACAGCUAUUAUGAGGUUAUGGUGAUGUAUUUUGGAAUGACAAAUGCUCUACAGUAUAUGAGAACUUCAAGAGCUCCAUUUAAGUGAGAUUUUCAGACUCGUGCAUAGGAGGGUCUAAAUGGUGAUAUGUGUUUAUUUUAAGAUCAGAAAGUAUCAUGAUGUUGUUUCAGAUAAGUUAUACAAUUCAUGGUAGGAGGUGAAGACUUUUUGAAA